This 83-nucleotide transfer RNA is filed under the name bacterium. RNAcentral's name for it is "tRNA-Tyr". It matches the Rfam family "tRNA". Rfam says of the family: Transfer RNA (tRNA) molecules are approximately 80 nucleotides in length. Their secondary structure includes four short double-helical elements and three loops (D, anti-codon, and T loops). The record is from RNAcentral. RNAcentral also lists the same sequence under 1 other name.
GGGGAGAUGGCCGAGUGGUUAAUGGCAGCAGACUGUAAAUCUGCCGGCGUAUGCCUACGGAGGUUCGAAUCCUUCUCUCCCCA